This 20-nucleotide non-coding RNA is filed under the name Rattus norvegicus (Norway rat). Lineage: Eukaryota; Metazoa; Chordata; Mammalia; Rodentia; Muridae. The record is from RNAcentral.
UGCUAGAAGCUUCGGCUAGG